GGUCUGGUGGAGCAAUGGUAGCUCGUCACUUUCCGGGGAGCUGCUGACUAAGCAGAAUUCCUACCGAGGUGAAAGUUGCGGGUUCGAGUCCCGUCCGGAUCG
RNAcentral lists this transfer RNA (102 nucleotides) under Sphaerobolus stellatus SS14. It matches the Rfam family "tRNA". From Rfam's summary of the family: Transfer RNA (tRNA) molecules are approximately 80 nucleotides in length. Their secondary structure includes four short double-helical elements and three loops (D, anti-codon, and T loops). Further hydrogen bonds mediate the characteristic L-shaped molecular structure. tRNAs have two regions of fundamental functional importance: the anti-codon, which is responsible for specific mRNA codon recognition, and the 3' end, to which the tRNAs corresponding amino acid is attached (by aminoacyl-tRNA synthetases). tRNAs cope with the degeneracy of the genetic code in two manners: having more than one tRNA (with a specific anti-codon) for a particular amino acid; and 'wobble' base-pairing, i.e. permitting non-standard base-pairing at the 3rd anti-codon position. Lineage: Eukaryota; Fungi; Basidiomycota; Agaricomycetes; Geastrales; Sphaerobolaceae. The record is from Rfam by way of RNAcentral.